CUCACACUGGAGAGAAGCCUUACAAAUGUAAAGAAUGUGACAAAGCUUUCAGUUUAAAAUCACUCCUAAUUUGCCACAGAAGAACUCACACUGGAGAGAAGAACUACAGAUGUAAAGCUUGUGGCAAAGCUUUUGGUCAAAAAUCACACCUUAUUUACCACAGCAGAACUCAUACUGGAGAGAAGCCCUACAAAUGCAAAGAUUGUGGCAAAGUUUUUGGUCAAAAAUCAGACCUUAUUUACCAUAGCAGAACUCACACUGGAGAGAAGCCCUACAAAUGUAAAGAAUGUGACAAAUCUUUUGGUAAAAAAUCACACCUUAUUCACCUCAGCUUCCCAGUUUGCUUGGAUUACAAGCAUAGACAAUCAUGUCAGGUUUACAGUGCAUUUUUUAA
RNAcentral lists this long non-coding RNA (394 nucleotides) under Marmota monax (woodchuck). Lineage: Eukaryota; Metazoa; Chordata; Mammalia; Rodentia; Sciuridae. The record is from RNAcentral.